Molecule: ribosomal RNA, 647 nt
Filed under: Ganoderma sp. BAB-5246
Lineage: Eukaryota; Fungi; Basidiomycota; Agaricomycetes; Polyporales; Polyporaceae
Description: eukaryotic LSU rRNA
Rfam family: 5.8S ribosomal RNA (bases 230-383)
Source: RNAcentral
CGUAGGUGAACCUGCGGAAGGAUCAUUAUCGAGUUUUGACUGGGUUGUAGCUGGCCUUCCGAGGCAUGUGCACGCCCUGCUCAUCCACUCUACACCUGUGCACUUACUGUGGGCUUCAGAUCGUAAAACGGGUCCCUUUACCGGGCUUGCGGAGCGUGUCUGUGCCUGCGUUUAUCACAAACUCUAUAAAGUAUCAGAAUGUGUAUUGCGAUGUAACGCAUCUAUAUACAACUUUCAGCAACGGAUCUCUUGGCUCUCGCAUCGAUGAAGAACGCAGCGAAAUGCGAUAAGUAAUGUGAAUUGCAGAAUUCAGUGAAUCAUCGAAUCUUUGAACGCACCUUGCGCUCCUUGGUAUUCCGAGGAGCAUGCCUGUUUGAGUGUCAUGAAAUCUUCAACCUGCAAGCUUUUGUGGUUUGUAGGCUUGGACUUGGAGGCUUGUCGGCCGUUGUUGGUCGGCUCCUCUUAAAUGCAUUAGCUUGGUUCCUUGCGGAUCGGCUCUCAGUGUGAUAAUGUCUACGCUGCGACCGUGAAGCGUUUGGCGAGCUUCUAACCGUCUCAGUUGGAGACAACUUUAUGACCUCUGACCUCAAAUCAGGUAGGACUACCCGCUGAACUUAAGCAUAUCAAUAAGCGGAGAAAAGAAUCUA